UACAGAGGGGGCAAGCGUUGUUCGGAAUUACUGGGCGUAAAGGGCGCGUAGGCGGCCCGCUAAGUCGAACGUGAAAUCCCCGGGCUCAACCCGGGAACUGCGUCCGAUACUGGCAGGCUUGAAUCCGGGAGAGGGAUGCGGAAUUCCAGGUGUAGCGGUGAAAUGCGUAGAUAUUCGGAAGAACACCAGUGGCGAAGGCGACUCACUGGACACGUAUUGACGCUGAGGUGCGAAAGCGUGGGGAGCAAACAGG
RNAcentral lists this ribosomal RNA (253 nucleotides) under uncultured bacterium. RNAcentral's name for it is "partial 16S ribosomal RNA". It matches the Rfam family "Bacterial small subunit ribosomal RNA", at positions 524 to 776 of the family's 1533-position model. The record is from RNAcentral.